UAGGGAAUCUUCCGCAAUGGGCGAAAGCCUGCCGGAGCAACGCCGCGUGAGUGAUGAAGGUCUUCGGAUCGUAAAACUCUGUUAUUAGGGAAGAACAAAUGUGUAAGUAACUAUGCACGUCUUGACGGUACCUAAUCAGAAAGCCACGGCUAACUACGUGCCAGCAGCCGCGGUAAUACGUAGGUGGCAAGCGUUAUCCGGAAUUAUUGGGCGUAAAGCGCGCGUAGGCGGUUUUUUAAGUCUGAUGUGAAAGCCCACGGCUCAACCGUGGAGGGUCAUUGGAAACUGGAAAACUUGAGUGCAGAAGAGGAAAGUAGAAUUCCAUGUGUAGCGGUGAAAUGCGCAGAGAUAUGGAGGAACACCAGUGGCGAAGGCGACUUUCUGGUCUGUAACUGACGCUGAUGUGCGAAAGCGUGGGGAUCAAACAGG
RNAcentral lists this ribosomal RNA (429 nucleotides) under Actinomycetes bacterium. RNAcentral describes it as "Actinobacteria bacterium partial 16S ribosomal RNA". It matches the Rfam family "Bacterial small subunit ribosomal RNA", at positions 355 to 776 of the family's 1533-position model. The record is from RNAcentral. Lineage: Bacteria; Bacillati; Actinomycetota; Actinomycetes.